This 1526-nucleotide long non-coding RNA is filed under the name Calidris pygmaea (Spoon-billed sandpiper). RNAcentral's name for it is "lncRNA (ENSCPGG00000006681.1)". The record is from RNAcentral. Lineage: Eukaryota; Metazoa; Chordata; Aves; Charadriiformes; Scolopacidae.
AUAGUUGCAAGAAUUUUCUACAGAGGGACCAUUCGCAUAAAAUAAAUGCAUUGGGCAUCUGUAAGAAACAGAGCAGACAAUUCUUGAAAGCAAAAACUCUCAUCUGACAUCUUGGCUGGCAUUAAAAAUCCUGUUGUGUGAUGCUGAAAAACUUCAACAACCCUCUGCUGGAAGCUGUUUGGGAGAAAACAAAGUUCUAGUUCUCUUUCUCCCUCCCUCAUUUUUAAGGUGAAUUUAACUGUGUUAGAGGGAGCCAAACUGAGAACAUGAUGAUGGAAUGAUCCGGUGCUUCUCAGAGACUGCAAGCCCCACCUUGCUGUCUGUCGUUGGUGGGCACAAUCCAUCCUCAGCUGGUUUCUGCGGGUCACCAUCGGAGCUGUGAACUCACAACGACUUAUGGUCCCGAUCAGAGUGCAUUAGAAUCAUGAAACACUUGAACAUAAACCCCAUAAAUCUUGAUUUGCCAUCAUCAGUCCCCUGAAGCAGCUGGCGCUGGCAGAACAGCUCCUUUAAAAUGGCAGAGCAGCUGCUCAGCUGGUGUAAAUCAGCACAGGACCUUGUAGAAGAAGGAGUAGAAGUAGAAAAGUAGAAGUAGAAAAACAGUGGUACCGCUUAAAGGUUGUUUUUUAAAGAGAUCAGUGAGUAACUAAAAGUUUAACGUGCCCGCUGGGAAGGGUAUAAAAGAAGAGUCUAAUUUGCAGAAAAGAAGAUUUAAAUUAUAUAUGGAAAAAAAAAAAGAAAAAAAGAUAUUUAGUGGCUUAGCACCAGGCAGGCGACGUUGCAGAUCUUCACUGGAGGUUUGUAAGAACUGAAUAAUUAGACCAACAUCUGUCACACGUAGGUGGAUCCUGUUCUGGUGAAGUGGACGGGUUCUGGAGAUCUCUUCAGUGCUUGCACAGCAUGGAGAAAUGGACCUCGCCGUUGACACUGAUAGUGGAGCUGCUCGUGAGAGGAAGAAUUUGAGAGUGGGAGCCCAGCAAGAGGGUGGAAUUCAUCACUCCUACCAGACACACACCAUGGGGCCCCGCACAGAAGAUGGUCUAUCUCACACCUCUGCUACUGUGGAGUUUUCCAGCUGUCCCAUGUCUUGGCAGCGCCUUGUCUUCUGCAGAGCCCUCAACCAGAUCCUCUCCUCCCCUUCACCGCAAGGUUAAAAGCCGGUUUCUCUGCCAGCCCUUUCAGCCUCUCGCUUUGUGGUUCUAGGAUGCAAGUCUGGGAGAAGUCCUGAACUUCAGAGAUUGGAGAAGGUGAGGGUUUGGUUUUGUUUUGCUUUGUUUUGUUUUCCAGAAUUUUGAAAAAAUAGUUCAGUGUGUGCUUAUUGAGAUUUUUUUCGGGGGAAACUAUGAACUCUAAACAACAUCUGAGCUGCCCUUGUGCUACAAUAACAAGGUAUAGUGUGAAGUAACUGAAAUAUAUGAAGUAGUAUUUGGAACAUCUCAUGCAUUUACAUUUCCAAACAAGUCAUAUUAACCCCUGGAAUAACCCAGUGCAUACUUUCAGUCAGUGUCAUCCCUUCCCAUUGCCUU